Chinchilla lanigera (long-tailed chinchilla) is the source of this 2853-nucleotide long non-coding RNA. RefSeq lists it as uncharacterized. The record is from RefSeq and is a predicted model, not a curated record. NCBI's taxonomy places the organism in Eukaryota, Metazoa, Chordata, Mammalia, Rodentia, Chinchillidae. The transcript is spliced from 3 exons.
UUGGCUGUUCUGGCCUGCGAGCAACCUCCCGGAAAAAACCCUAAAGCUUUGCACAGCUCGGGGCUGUCUGGGUCCACUAGGCUCUCCCGCCUAAUAAAGACUCCUCUCGUGUUAGACAGUCUGGUUCGGUUCUGUGUGGGUCUCGGUUCGAUCGUUUAGUGCCGAGACCCAGGAGGGACACCAAGGCACCCGCCGGUCCCUCCUGACCGGGGACCGCUCCCCAGCUCCACGUGCAACCACCUCUGAACGGAGCACGAGCCCCGGACCCGCCACACUGCUGAUGCCGCCAUCCACCCAGGCCGUCUCUGUCCUCUCAAGAGGGGCCCUCCGCCCCAGCCCAGCCUCCCACGCCACAACCGUCUCUGAUGGACUUGCUGGGGCUAGCCAGAGAGGACUGACUGGGCCUGGGUUCCCACACCCCCACUGAAGAGGCAGACGAGGUCCUGCUGACAUCUGAGGAGCCCAGGGUACGAGUCCAGGUGGCAGAUCAGUGCCUACCUAAACCUGACAAAACCUCAGUGACUCUACGGGUCCAGCCUGGUGACCAGGUGCUCCUCAAGGAUUUAUCGGCCUCAGCUCCUCAUCCAUGCUGGUCAGGCCAUUCACUGUGGUCCUCAGCACACCAACUACCGCCAAGCUUCUCAAGAAGCCAGCCUGGGUCCACCUCUCUGCUCUCAAGAGGGCGCCCACACCGGCCGAUCCACAGCCAGAUAAGCCCUCCUGGUCGUCCCAGGUGCUCUCUCCCACUAAACUUCUCCUAAGGCACUCCGAUACCUUAGACUCCAUCCCAGAAUGAGUCCCAUUCUCCUUCUCCCUUUCCUCCUGGGGGUUCAUAUGCUACCCAAUCUCCAACGUCCCCGUUGGCGUUUCUGGGCCAAGUCCACCAGUGGCAACACGCUCACGUUUACUGACUGCCCUGUCGCAGGCUGUAGUGGGCCAAUUACCCUAAACGUCGACGCCUGUGCAGAGUCUGUCUGCCACAUCCACAGCUCUACCAGUGCACACAACCUAAACCGCGAACGCGGCUUUACCCCUUGUAACAAAUAUGCUUGUUUCUCGAGCGCCGACUGGGCCCCUGGGUACUGUCCCUCCUACUGCUCCACCUGGUCAGACGUUAAAGCCUACCAAGGAUACUACUCCUCAACAACCUGGCCUUUCAAAUUUGCCAUUGGCCAACCAAAUCCCGGGGCUUGCCUCUUUGCAGGAUACCGAUUCUCAAAUCAGAGCUGUCUCUCGGACCAGUGUAACCCCACCUACAUCACCAUCCAAAAUCCCUGGGACACUCCCUGGGAGACUAAGGGCAUCUAUAUAUACCUCCGUAUAGAUGUCCAUGGUACAGACCCUUGCCUCACGCUCAAUAUCUACCGAGAAUUAUAUACCCCCCCACCUUUAUCGCCAAGGCUCCAAAGAUUUCAAACAAAACUCAACUCCUCCCUACUCCACGCCCCUUCCCUAACUAACUUCACCCAGAUUCUCUUUCAGGCUAUUCAUGCGACUCCCUCUAACUUGUCAGAGAGCUAGAUCUGCACCUCCCUGCUAGACCCCACAGUGACCAUUAUCCCCUGGUAUCGUAACUCCUCCACGAUAUGCUCUACCCAAAGCUCCCUGCGACAGACCCCCCAGCUCUAUCUUCUCCCAGGGGCUAAUCUCACUUGUUACAGAAAGUUCAAAACUGACAGUUCUAUACCCUGCAACCAAACCAUCACCUCACCCCCAAGUUCUUCUACCCCAGCUACACAUCCCCGUUAUUUCCUAUCCAACUCCCAGCUCCUCUCCUGUUAUCAUCCCAACAUGACCUGCCUCCCCGUCCUUCCCCUUCCUAAUCUGCAGAUCUAUACCAACUCUGAGUUCACAGAAUAGUUCCUCCACUCACCUGGGUGCUCUCAGGGCAGCGUUUCUAUCGGGGUUGUCCUGGGAGCUUCUGUUUUGGUGGCAGCCCUUGGGACAUCCGCCUUGGGUAUAUCCAUAGGCCUCAGCCUUCAGCUCAGUAAACAGCUGGCUAACCACAUUGACCAUGUCUCCUCCACCUUCAAUUUAGUCUAUUCACAGUUAGACCAACUAGCAGCCGUCGACCUCCAAAAUAGGCACACCCUCGACCUCCUCCCAGUGGAGAGGGGUGGAACUUGCCUGUUUCUGGGAGAAAAAUGCUGUAUUUAUGCCAACCAGUUGGGUCUCGUCCAAGAAAAAAAUCCAACAGAUGCAAGACCAGGCCCAUCUCCUCUGCUGAGGGCUUUCUUCUGCUGCUCCAGGAAGCUCUGGGUUAUGGACAUCCCUUCUCCCACAGCUGCUCCCACUCCCCUCACGGCAAUCUGCCUUCUCCUCCUUGCAGCCCCCUGUGCUAUCUCCCUCGUUUGCAACACUGUCCAAAAACUAACAACCAAAAAUUUUAACCUUAUGCCUCUUUCAGAUCCCCAAUUCCAGCCGGUAGUUCUAGAGGACCCAGAUGAGUCCCCUUGACACUGCCCCAGUCCAGCAGGAAGUAGUCACUGAGGAGACACUUCACCCUUGUCCCUAUUAGAUCAAGUCUGGGAUGAUAAGUCUCUGAAAGGACCCCCCCCCCACCCCUUGCAAAGAGAAAAAGCGCCCAGCCCCAGGUGCCCUGCCCACUCUACUUCACUUCCCUAAUGGGCCCAACUGCAAAGGCUGACCCCACCCAUAAAAGUACCAGAUGUUCUUGCAAAAUCAACUGCUCUAACCACAAAACCUCUUUCUUGGCUGUUCUGGGCCACGAGCACCCUCCCCCCAAAAAAACCCUUAAAAAUCCAAAGCUUUGCGCAGCUCAGGGCUGUCUUGGUCUGCUAGGCAGCCCACUGCAUUGCUCUCCUGCCUAAUAAAGACUCCUCUUGUGUUAGA